GACGAACGCUGGCGGCGUGCCUAAUACAUGCAAGUCGAGCGGACGGAUGGGAGCUUGCUCCCAGACCGUCAGCGGCGGACGGGUGAGUAACACGUGGGCAACCUGCCUGUAAGACUGGGAUAACUCCGGGAAACCGGGGCUAAUACCGGAUAACUCUUUCCCUCACAUGAGGGAAAGCUGAAAGAUGGCAUCUCGCUAUCACUUACAGAUGGGCCCGCGGCGCAUUAGCUAGUUGGUGAGGUAACGGCUCACCAAGGCGACGAAGCGGAGCCGACCUGAGAGGGUGAGUGGCCACACUGGGACUGAGACACGGCCCAGACUCCUACGGGAGGCAGCAGUAGGGAAUCUUCCGGAAUGGACGGAAGUCUGACGGAGCAACGCCGCGUGAGUGAUGAAGGUAUUCGGAUCGUAAAACUCUGUUGUCAGGGAAGAACAGUUACCGGAGUAACUGCCGGUACCUUGACGGUACCUGACCAGAAAGCCACGGCUAACUACGUG
This 498-nucleotide ribosomal RNA is filed under the name uncultured bacterium. Its description in RNAcentral is "partial 16S ribosomal RNA". It matches the Rfam family "Bacterial small subunit ribosomal RNA", at positions 28 to 507 of the family's 1533-position model. The record is from RNAcentral.